GCGGCCACCGGGCGUUGCUGGUAAGCUGCUCCUUCGCGUGGCCGCCGGCCGGGCCUCUCCUAGACGGUGGGACCGCAAGCGGUAGCUACUUGGUCCGUUCUCUUUUCACUGGAAUGUACCCUGGACGAAUUAGGAUUCCGCCUGGUUUCCCGCUGCUACAUCCCUCCCCGUCUUUGAAGGUGGAAAGGAGAGAAGGAAGGAAAGUACGCCGGACUCAGAGGACACCCAAACCCCAGGCCCCACCGCUCCAGUCCAGUCUGGCGCUGAGUCCUGGAAACAGGGUCCAAGCGAAACAAAGUCCCUGUUCAUGUGGAAUUUACAUUUAGGAGGGAAUGUGAGGCACA
This is a long non-coding RNA of Fukomys damarensis (Damara mole-rat), 344 nucleotides long. RefSeq lists it as uncharacterized. The record is from RefSeq and is a predicted model, not a curated record. The transcript is spliced from 2 exons. Lineage: Eukaryota; Metazoa; Chordata; Mammalia; Rodentia; Bathyergidae.